This 467-nucleotide ribosomal RNA is filed under the name uncultured bacterium. RNAcentral's name for it is "partial 16S ribosomal RNA". It matches the Rfam family "Bacterial small subunit ribosomal RNA", at positions 29 to 507 of the family's 1533-position model. The record is from RNAcentral.
ACGAACGCUGGCGGCGUGCUUAACACAUGCCAGUCGAACGGAAAGGCCCUGCUUUUGUGGGGUGCUCGAGUGGCGAACGGGUGAGUAACACGUGAGUAACCUGCCCUUGACUUCGGGAUAACUUCAGGAAACUGGGGCUAAUACCGGAUAGGAGCUCCUGCUGCAUGGUGGGGGUUGGAAAGUUUCGGCGGUUGGGGAUGGACUCGCGGCUUAUCAGCUUGUUGGUGGGGUAGUGGCUUACCAAGGCUUUGACGGGUAGCCGGCCUGAGAGGGUGACCGGCCACAUUGGGACUGAGAUACGGCCCAGACUCCUACGGGAGGCAGCAGUGGGGAAUAUUGCACAAUGGGCGGAAGCCUGAUGCAGCAACGCCGCGUGCGGGAUGACGGCCUUCGGGUUGUAAACCGCUUUCGCCUGUGACGAAGCGUGAGUGACGGUAAUGGGUAAAGAAGCACCGGCUAACUACGUG